Molecule: unclassified non-coding RNA, 301 nt
Filed under: uncultured fungus
Lineage: Eukaryota; Fungi
Description: sequence contains ITS1
Rfam family: 5.8S ribosomal RNA (bases 1-105)
Source: RNAcentral
GAAAUGCGAUAAGUAGUGUAAAUUGCAGAAUUCAGUAAAUUAUUAAAUCUUUAAACGCACAUUGCGCCCUUUAGUAUUCCUUAGGGCAUGCCUAUUUAAGCGUCAUCUAAACCUUCAAGUACUGCUUGGUGUUAGGUGCCUGUCCCGCCCCCGCGCGUGGACUCACCUUAAAUCUAUUGGCAGCCCUUACGUCAGCUUUGAGCGCAGCAGAAACGCGAACUCAAGGCCUGUUGGAGCGGCUCCUAGAAGCUACAUUUACUAUUUUAACCUUGGAUCAGGUAGGGAUACCUGCUGAACUUAA